RNAcentral lists this ribosomal RNA (506 nucleotides) under uncultured bacterium. Its description in RNAcentral is "partial 16S ribosomal RNA". It matches the Rfam family "Bacterial small subunit ribosomal RNA", at positions 30 to 523 of the family's 1533-position model. The record is from RNAcentral.
AUUGAACGCUGGCGGCAGGCCUAACACAUGCAAGUCGAGCGGCAGCGGAAAGUAGCUUGCUACUUUGCCGGCGAGCGGCGGACGGGUGAGUAAUGUCUGGGAAACUGCCUGAUGGAGGGGGAUAACUACUGGAAACGGUAGCUAAUACCGCAUAACGUCCCAAGACCAAAGCGGGGGACCUUCGGGCCUCUUGCCAUCAGAUGUGCCCAGAUGGGUAUAGCUAGUAGGUGGGGUAACGGCUCACCUAGGCGACGAGCCCUAGCUGGUCUGAGAGGAUGACCAGCCACACUGGAACUGAGACACGGUCCAGACUCCUACGGGAGGCAGCAGUGGGGAAUAUUGCACAAUGGGCGCAAGCCUGAUGCAGCCAUGCCGCGUGUAUGAAGAAGGCCUUCGGGUUGUAAAGUACUUUCAGCGGGGAGGAAGGUGUUGAGGUUAAUAACCUCAGCAAUUGACGUUACCCGCAGAAGAAGCACCGGCUAACUCCGUGCCAGCCGCCGCCGUAA